UACAGAGGUGGCAAGCGUUGUUCGGAAUUACUGGGCGUAAAGGGCGCGUAGGCGGCCUUCUAAGUCAGACGUGAAAUCCCCAGGCUUAACUUGGGAACUGCGUCUGAUACUGGGAGGCUUGAGUGCGGGAGAGGGAUGUGGAAUUCCAGGUGUAGCGGUGAAAUGCGUAGAUAUCUGGAGGAAUACCGGUGGCGAAGGCGGCAUCCUGGACCGGCAUUGACGCUGAGGAGCGAAAGCUAGGGGAGCAAACGGG
RNAcentral lists this ribosomal RNA (253 nucleotides) under uncultured bacterium. RNAcentral describes it as "partial 16S ribosomal RNA". It matches the Rfam family "Bacterial small subunit ribosomal RNA", at positions 524 to 776 of the family's 1533-position model. The record is from RNAcentral.